RNAcentral lists this ribosomal RNA (468 nucleotides) under uncultured bacterium. Its description in RNAcentral is "partial 16S ribosomal RNA". It matches the Rfam family "Bacterial small subunit ribosomal RNA", at positions 28 to 507 of the family's 1533-position model. The record is from RNAcentral.
GAUGAACGCUGGCGGCGUGCUUAACACAUGCAAGUCGAACGGAAAGGCGCUGCUUGCACGGUGCUCGAGUGGCGAACGGGUGAGUAACACGUGGGUGAUCUGCCCCUUACUUUGGGAUAAGCCUGGGAAACUGGGUCUAAUACUGGCUAGGACCAUGCUGUAGGUGGUGUGGUGGAAAGAUUAGUUUCGGUAAGGGAUGAGCUAGCGGCCUAUCAGCGUGUUGGUGGGGUGAUGGCAUACCAAGGCGUCGCCGGGUAGCCGGCCUGCGAGGGGGGACGGCCACAUUGGGCCUGUACUGCGGCCCAGACUCCUACGGGAGGCAGCAGUGGGGAAUAUUGCACAAUGGGAGCAAGCCUGAUGCAGCGACGUCUCGUGGUGGAUGACGGCCUUCGUUUUGUAAACACCUUUCAGCCAUGACGAAGGCCUGGUGUUGCCGGUAGUGGUAGGAGAAACACCGCCAACCUACUG